RNAcentral lists this ribosomal RNA (1730 nucleotides) under Escherichia coli. RNAcentral's name for it is "partial 23S ribosomal RNA". It matches the Rfam family "Bacterial large subunit ribosomal RNA", at positions 375 to 2093 of the family's 2925-position model. The record is from RNAcentral. Lineage: Bacteria; Pseudomonadati; Pseudomonadota; Gammaproteobacteria; Enterobacterales; Enterobacteriaceae.
GUACACAAAAAUGCACAUGCUGUGAGCUCGAUGAGUAGGGCGGGACACGUGGUAUCCUGUCUGAAUAUGGGGGGACCAUCCUCCAAGGCUAAAUACUCCUGACUGACCGAUAGUGAACCAGUACCGUGAGGGAAAGGCGAAAAGAACCCCGGCGAGGGGAGUGAAAAAGAACCUGAAACCGUGUACGUACAAGCAGUGGGAGCACGCUUAGGCGUGUGACUGCGUACCUUUUGUAUAAUGGGUCAGCGACUUAUAUUCUGUAGCAAGGUUAACCGAAUAGGGGAGCCGAAGGGAAACCGAGUCUUAACUGGGCGUUAAGUUGCAGGGUAUAGACCCGAAACCCGGUGAUCUAGCCAUGGGCAGGUUGAAGGUUGGGUAACACUAACUGGAGGACCGAACCGACUAAUGUUGAAAAAUUAGCGGAUGACUUGUGGCUGGGGGUGAAAGGCCAAUCAAACCGGGAGAUAGCUGGUUCUCCCCGAAAGCUAUUUAGGUAGCGCCUCGUGAAUUCAUCUCCGGGGGUAGAGCACUGUUUCGGCAAGGGGGUCAUCCCGACUUACCAACCCGAUGCAAACUGCGAAUACCGGAGAAUGUUAUCACGGGAGACACACGGCGGGUGCUAACGUCCGUCGUGAAGAGGGAAACAACCCAGACCGCCAGCUAAGGUCCCAAAGUCAUGGUUAAGUGGGAAACGAUGUGGGAAGGCCCAGACAGCCAGGAUGUUGGCUUAGAAGCAGCCAUCAUUUAAAGAAAGCGUAAUAGCUCACUGGUCGAGUCGGCCUGCGCGGAAGAUGUAACGGGGCUAAACCAUGCACCGAAGCUGCGGCAGCGACGCUGAUGCGUUGUUGGGUAGGGGAGCGUUCUGUAAGCCUGCGAAGGUGUGCUGUGAGGCAUGCUGGAGGUAUCAGAAGUGCGAAUGCUGACAUAAGUAACGAUAAAGCGGGUGAAAAGCCCGCUCGCCGGAAGACCAAGGGUUCCUGUCCAACGUUAAUCGGGGCAGGGUGAGUCGACCCCUAAGGCGAGGCCGAAAGGCGUAGUCGAUGGGAAACAGGUUAAUAUUCCUGUACUUGGUGUUACUGCGAAGGGGGGACGGAGAAGGCUAUGUUGGCCGGGCGACGGUUGUCCCGGUUUAAGCGUGUAGGCUGGUUUUCCAGGCAAAUCCGGAAAAUCAAGGCUGAGGCGUGAUGACGAGGCACUACGGUGCUGAAGCAACAAAUGCCCUGCUUCCAGGAAAAGCCUCUAAGCAUCAGGUAACAUCAAAUCGUACCCCAAACCGACACAGGUGGUCAGGUAGAGAAUACCAAGGCGCUUGAGAGAACUCGGGUGAAGGAACUAGGCAAAAUGGUGCCGUAACUUCGGGAGAAGGCACGCUGAUAUGUAGGUGAAGUCCCUUGCGGAUGGAGCUGAAAUCAGUCGAAGAUACCAGCUGGCUGCAACUGUUUAUUAAAAACACAGCACUGUGCAAACACGAAAGUGGACGUAUACGGUGUGACGCCUGCCCGGUGCCGGAAGGUUAAUUGAUGGGGUCAGCGCAAGCGAAGCUCUUGAUCGAAGCCCCGGUAAACGGCGGCCGUAACUAUAACGGUCCUAAGGUAGCGAAAUUCCUUGUCGGGUAAGUUCCGACCUGCACGAAUGGCGUAAUGAUGGCCAGGCUGUCUCCACCCGAGACUCAGUGAAAUUGAACUCGCUGUGAAGAUGCAGUGUACCCGCGGCAAGACGGAAAGACCCCG